RNAcentral lists this long non-coding RNA (348 nucleotides) under Nicotiana benthamiana. RNAcentral describes it as "long non-coding RNA (NBEN_LNC017236)". Lineage: Eukaryota; Viridiplantae; Streptophyta; Magnoliopsida; Solanales; Solanaceae. The record is from RNAcentral.
AUACUAAUCAAGGGUGACGUUUAUAACGCUCCUUAAUGACCGGAUAGCAUGAAGUAUACAAUUUACUCUCAAGAACCAGUAAAAGAAUAAUGUAUUUUUUCCUUCUGUCCUUAUAGCUCUGGAUCACCCUAGGUAUGGUUCAAUUGUCAAAUCCCAAUAGGCGAUCAACUAUGUGUUCACGUCAAAUAUAAUCGACCAUUGAAUGACCUAAGAAACUCAUUUCUUCUUUCAUUCAAUUGCCCUGGCCAAGGUCUUAGUUUGGUCGUUUAUAAUUCAUGACAACAUGGAGCUUAAAAUUAUUACCAAGAGUUGACAGAUUUUGUCUUGAUCAAUCACUAAUUCUACAAG